CUUCUCUUCAAAGGCCUGGAAAACCCAUGCCCUAGCUAGCCCUAGCUAGUUUCUCUCUGAAAAUUAAUGGGUUGAAAAGCUAUAAAACUAUUAAUUUUAUUUAUUUAUUUACCAACAUGUGAUUAUCCCACCUGCCCCAAAAAUUCUAUUAAUUAUACUGUCUCUUCCUUAUUUAUAAGCCACCUUUUAGCCGCUACUUGCAGGAGAAAAAAAGAUAUAAAGGGGAAGGCACCUUGGAGUAUUUUUCAUUGCAAAAGAAAAGCUAGGGUUUUUAUCCAACUCACAAAUGUUCUCCUUCACCAAUAUUCUCAAUCCUUCUCCACACAUUCCUUCGUCCUCUUACCACCCUUUUUCUCCUCCUGCUUUUGCUGACAACGACCCAGCUGAAGCUGAAAACAUUUUCCUUCAGUACUACGACCCACCAUUUUUACCCAAUAUCAAUGCUCCAAUAUUUCCUGAAAAAAAUGUAAUCACUAGGCAAAACAACGGAGACCCACUUGCGAAGAUGCCUGCAGCAGUGAAGAAAGAUAGGCACAGCAAGAUUUACACUUCCCAGGGGUUGAGGGACAGAAGGGUGAGGCUUUCCAUUGACAUCGCCCGCAAGUUCUUUGAUCUCCAGGACUUGCUAGGGUUCGACAAAGCCAGCACAACCUUGGACUGGCUGCUCACGAAGUCUAGAAAAGAGAUCGAAGAAGUUGCUCAAAUGAAGCAGCAGGGUUUUAGUAGCUUGUCAUCCAAUCAUUCUGAGGGUGAGGUGAUUUCAAAGAGCAAUUCAUUUGUGAGUGCUCCCAAAGAGAUCAAGAAGACGACGAUGAAAAUGCAGAAUCAUGAAGCUACUGAUCUUGCCAAAGAAUCGAGGACAAAGGCUAGAGCAAGAGCAAGGGAAAGGGCAAGAGAAAAAAGGCGCACCAGUAGGCCGGCCGCGGCCGAGUCCAAAAAAUGUUCGCAACCAAGUGGUGAUGAUGGUGAUGAUGAUGAUCAGCAGCAGCAGCUUGAAGUUUGUGAAAGAUCCUCCAAGGUGGUGGCGGAUGAUGAUGAUCAAGGCCCAAGGGCAAACGUUUUUGAGGAAUCUAUCGUGAUCAGAAGGAAGUUGAGGCCAUCUGAUCACACUCAUCAGAACAGCAAUUACUACUUUCCCAAUUUUCCUCUAAAUUGGGACAUUGCUAGCACCAUUGCACGCUCGAGCUGUUGUACCAUCCCGGCCCAACAUGAAUAAUCUUUCUAGAGAAGUACUUCAAAUCUGCCAGAAACCAUUAGAAGGGUGCAUCAAUCAACGUUUGAACUAAAAUGGUCUCCAGGCUAGCUCUACGCAUUAGCUAUGUUCUCUCGAUUCAGAAUUUGCUAAAGUUUCACAUGUGACAAAAAGCUGCAUGCGAACAAUUUAAAGAAGGUACUAAAUUCCAAAUCCCUCCUCUAAAUCCACAUAUCAAAAAAUGUUAUUUAGAUCUUCAGAUCGAAUCGGAAUAUGAAUGAAAGAAAGAAACUAUAGAUAUAUUAGUUCAA
Non-coding RNA from Corylus avellana, 1503 nucleotides. The record is from RefSeq and is a predicted model, not a curated record. NCBI's taxonomy places the organism in Eukaryota, Viridiplantae, Streptophyta, Magnoliopsida, Fagales, Betulaceae.